AGUGAACGCUGGCGGUAGGCCUAACACAUGCAAGUCGAACGGCAGCACAGUAAUAGCUUGCUCUUACGGGUGGCGAGUGGCGGACGGGUGAGGAAUACAUCGGAAUCUACUUUUUCGUGGGGGAUAACGAAGGGAAACUUACGCUAAUACCGCAUACGACCUACGGGUGAAAGCAGGGGAUCUUCGGACCUUGCGCGAUUGAAUGAGCCGAUGUCGGAUUAGUUAGUUGGCGGGGUAAAGGCCCACCAAGGCGACGAUCCGUAGCUGGUCUGAGAGGAUGAUCAGCCACACUGGAACUGAGACACGGUCCAGGCUCCUACGGGAGGCAGCAGUGGGGAAUAUUGGACAAUGGGCGCAAGCCUGAUCCAGCCAUACCGCGUGGGUGAAGAAGGCCUUCGGGUUGUAAAGCCCUUUUGUUGGGAAAGAAAAGCAGCAGGUUAAUACCACGCUGUUAUGACGGUACCCAAAGAAUAAGCACCGGCUAACUUCGUG
RNAcentral lists this ribosomal RNA (492 nucleotides) under uncultured bacterium. Its description in RNAcentral is "partial 16S ribosomal RNA". It matches the Rfam family "Bacterial small subunit ribosomal RNA", at positions 29 to 507 of the family's 1533-position model. The record is from RNAcentral.